AGAGUUUGAUCCUGGCUCAGGAUGAACGCUGGCGGUAUGCUUAACACAUGCAAGUCGAACGAAGUGCUUCGGCACUUAGUGGCGGACGGGUGAGUAACGCGUGAGAAUCUGCCAAAAGGACUGGGACAACAGCUGGAAACGGCUGCUAAUACCGGAUAUGCCAGAAAGUGAAAUGGGUAAAACCGCCUUUUGAUGAGCUCGCGUCCGAUUAGCUAGUUGGUGGGGUAAAAGCCUACCAAGGCGACGAUCGGUAACUGGUCUGAGAGGAUGACCAGUCACACUGGGACUGAGACACGGCCCAGACUCCUACGGGAGGCAGCAGUGGGGAAUUUUCCGCAAUGGGCGAAAGCCUGACGGAGCAAUACCGCGUGAGGGAGGAAGGCUCUUGGGUUGUAAACCUCUUUUCUCAGGGAAGAACACAAUGACGGUACCUGAGGAAUCAGCAUCGGCUAACUCCGUGCCAGCAGCCGCGGUAAUACGGAGGAUGCAAGCGUUAUCCGGAAUGAUUGGGCGUAAAGCGUCCGCAGGUGGCUUUGCAAGUCUGCUGUCAAAGCUCAGGGCUUAACCCUGAAUCGGCGGUGGAAACUGANAGGCUAGAGUGUGGUAGGGGCAGAGGGAAUUCCCAGUGUAGCGNUGAAAUGCGUAGAGAUUGGGAAGAACACCAGUGGCGAAAGCGCUCUGCUAGACCGCAACUGACACUCAUGGACGAAAGCUAGGGGAGCGAAUGGGAUUAGAUACCCCCGUAGUCC
This 749-nucleotide ribosomal RNA is filed under the name uncultured cyanobacterium. RNAcentral's name for it is "bacterial SSU rRNA". It matches the Rfam family "Bacterial small subunit ribosomal RNA", at positions 8 to 796 of the family's 1533-position model. Lineage: Bacteria; Bacillati; Cyanobacteriota. The record is from RNAcentral.